CCCGCCGGGCUGAGGUGGCGGAGCUCGGGGCCCCGUUGUCCCCAGCGUCGAGCGGGAGGCCGGUCCGCGGAGCUGCCGCGGCCGUGCCUGAGAGGAUCUUCAGGACUGCAAUGCCCGCUGCUGCUCCUUCUUACACACCUUGCCCUUCUCGUGAGAGUUAAGGACGCUGUCGAGAAGACUUUUAAAUAGACGCGGCUCCUAUCUUUACUCUUUCUACUGAAGAAAUCAUAGAUGAUGGCUUCUGACGCUAGUCAUAUGCUGGAAGCAGCUUUGGAGCAGAUGGAUGACAUCAUUGCAGGUACAAAGUCAGCUACAGAGUAUGCUAAUGGUGGUUAUGAUAUUGUGUCACCUGCUCCAUCAGUAUACUUGGGCACAUUUCAAAUUUUGCAUCUGCUGGAAGAUCUAAAGAUGGCACUGGAAAUGCUAGAGGAUCCUCAAGAGAAAGAAGCAUUGCGAAAUCAAAUUCCAGGGGCCACAGCAGUGUGUAUACGGGAGUGGUUUGAAGAGAAUCUGUCACAGGUGAAUCAUCAUUCAUCUAAUAAUGAAACAUAUCAAGAAAGAUUGGCACGAUUAGAAGGUGAUAAAGAGUCGCUCAUACUGCAGGUGAGUGUUCUUACAGACCAAGUGGAAGCUCAAGGAGAGAAAAUCCGGGACUUAGAAAUCUGUCUUGAAGGGCAUCAGUUGAAACUGAAUGCUACAGAAGAAAUGCUUCAACAGGAGUUGCUAAGUCGAACAUCACUAGAGACUCAGAAAUUAGAUCUAAUGGCUGAAGUUUCAGACCUGAAGAUUAAGCUGGUUGGUAUGGAAAAGGAGCAGAGUGAAUAUGAAGAGAAACAGACCAAAGCUGAGGGUUUGCUACAGGAACUUAGACACCUCAAAAUUAAAGUGGAAGAACUGGAAAAUGAAAGAAAUCAGUAUGAAUGGAAAUUAAAAGCAACUAAAGCUGAGAUAGCCCAGCUUCAGGAGCAAUUAGCUCUUAAAGAUGCAGAAAUAGAACGCUUACAAAGUCAGCUAUCCAGGACCUCAUCACAUAGCGAAGUGGCAGAAAGAGAGGAAGUUUAUAGGAGAAGGCUAAAAGAAAAACAUCAAGAAGUUCAAAGGUUGAAGAUAGGAAUGGAAUCGUUAUUGGCUGCAAAUGAAGAAAAGGACCGUCGAAUAGAAGAGCUAACGCUGUUGCUAAGCCAGUACAGGAGGGUCAAAGAGAUAAUGAUUGCAGCUCACGGUCUUGUACGGCAGAAUGGACACUUGUAUUUAACACACAAGAACAGGGAACGAGAGUCAGGCUCUUCUGUCUCUGGGGGCAGUGAAGAGGAACUUGAGACAACUUUAAGGAAGUGGACUCUUUUGACUAAUCCUCAAGGAGAAUUAUUGAAAACAGAGGCCUCUUCAGGAGAAUUAUCACCAGCUGUGCUCUCUCCGUCGCCUCACAAAGCUAUGGAAAUCAGUGGAAGCAUUCCAGUAUCUUCAACUAAUUUAACCUCUCCACCAGAAGAAUCUCUGGAAAUCAUCAGUAGGGUUCCACAGAAAAAAAAGUCAAGUAGUUUAGAAGACUUGCAGAGUGAAUCCCUGGAAAAGUAUGUAGACGGAAAACCAGUACAGCCUGUUGUAGAACAAGAGAGUAAGCCGCUUGCAAAAGGCAGCAAGUACCAAACCUUGCCAGGGAAGCUGCCUCGACCACUGCAGAACGGAGAGCAGGGAACAUGUAAUUCACCCGAUGGGUCUGGCGUGACCGACAGCGAGGACAGCAGCUUCCUGGGCCUGAGAGACACAGAGAACGUGGAUGGUACAGUGGUCUCAGAUGACCUUUCGCCUCUUUCUUCGGGAAUGGAUUCAGGCCCACAAUCUCCAUUGUCUCCAGAAAACAGGAAGAGUCCAAAAGGGAUCAAGAAAAUUUGGGGAAAAAUAAGAAGAACUCAGUCAGGUAACUUCCCUGCAGACGACCUGGGGUUGGCAGAGUUUCGAAGAGGUGGUCUCCGUGCAACAGCUGGGCCUCGGUUGUCCAGAUCAAAGGAAACCAAAGGCCAGAAAAGUGACUACAAUGCUCCGUUUGCUCAGUGGAGCACUGAAAGAGUUUGUAACUGGCUUGAGGACUUUGGUCUUGGUCAGUACGUCAUCUUUGCACGGCAGUGGGUGACUUCAGGCCAUAUGCUGUUGACUGCGACACCUCAGGACAUGGAAAAGGAAAUGGGAAUAAAGCAUCCACUGCACAGGAAGAAAUUAGUUUUGGCCAUUAAAUCAAUAAAUGCAAAACAAGAUGAGAAGUCUGCACAGCUCGAUCAUAUCUGGGUGACACGAUGGCUCGAUGACAUUGGUUUACCUCAGUACAAAGACCAGUUUCAUGAAGCCAGAGUGGAUGGGAGAAUGUUGCAGUAUUUAACUGUGAAUGACCUUCUCUUUCUGAAAGUCACCAGUCAGCUGCAUCACCUGAGUAUUAAAUGUGCCAUUCAUGUGCUGCACAUCAACGGUUUUAACCCCCACUGUCUACGCAGGAGACCAGUUGAGGAGCAGAGUAACGGUUCACCUUCUGAAGUUGUUCAGUGGUCCAACCACAGAGUGAUGGAAUGGCUCAGAUCAGUCGACCUGGCAGAAUACGCACCGAACCUUCGAGGAAGUGGAGUGCACGGUGCCCUGAUUCUUCUUGAACCUCGCUUCAAUGGUGACACGCUGGCGAUGCUGCUGAAUAUUCCCCCUCAGAAGACACUGCUGCGGCGGCACCUGACGACCAAUUUCAAUGUAUUAAUUGGACCAGAGGCUCAACAAGAGAAGAGAGAAAUAACGGAGUCCACAGCAUACACACCUCUCACCACCACUGCCAAAGUCCGGCCAAGAAAACUUGGAUUUUCACAUUUUGGAAACUUAAGGAAAAAGAAAUUUGAUGAAUCAACAGACUACAUUUGUCCUAUGGAUACAAACCCAGGUGCUACAAAUGGUUCUCAGAAAAACUACAGUGGAUACAAAGGCCUUAGUCCUGUCACUGACAGGGAGCUGGAUCAGGUGGGACAGACAGACUGAUGCCAUUCUCAUCUCAUCUCAUCCUCUCCAUGCAUUCCAAAGCUUUGCAAAUAACCAAAUGUUAGCAUGCAACAAAGUAUUUGCUGCAUCCGCAUGAACUUACUUACUGAGAAAGUACUGGCUGUGGACACUAGAAAGAGUUCUAUACUAAGAAUGUCAGGUUAAUUUUUUUAAUCAAUAUCAUAUAAACUCAUCCAUCUUCAAGCCCUUUUUCAGGUACGUGACACCUUUACACUAUGAAGAUCGAUGUAUUUUGACAGUUCAGGUGGUGGUGGUGGCAGGAAACAAGACUUGUACUUCUAGCUUGCAUAAUCUCAAUAUGGCACACUACUUUUUUCAUGAUCUAUCUUUAUGGGUGGUUUUUAAAUGUAAUAAAUUUAUUUGGACUGAUUUGUACAAAGCUAUCAAGUUAUAUAUUAAAUGACAACUGGAUUGUAUAUUUUUAAAAGACAUUAAUCAAAGAAUCCAACUGAAUUUUUCUUCCAUUAUGUACAGUGGGGAGUAGUUUUGCUUAGAAGGGUGUAUGUGAAAACAAUGCAUCAGUAAUGAACAAGAUUAUUAAUAAACCAAUACUGAAAUAAUUCACUUUUGUUAUGUAGUAGUGAACUUGUGCAUGAAACUCUCCAGACAUCACACAGACUAAUGAGGAAGACUAAAACCCAUCAAAUUUUAUUCAACUUUGCUGUUGUGUAAAGGGAUGCAAACCCUGAAAAACGGAGCUCCUGGAGCCUUGUGUGAACUUCAGCAACACACAAGAGCCAGACAGAGGCAGCUGGGGUGAACUGCCCUAUCUCCACUGGUGCCUGACGUGAGAUAAAAUCAUUUUAAGCGUGAUAAGAGAAUGGUCACAAAAUUGAAAAGACUAACUGUGAAGGUAACUUUUCAUAUGCAUGGUUUACUGCAUCUAACAUCUCAUCAUUGGUGUUCACUACCUAACCAUUGUCUUUUUCCAUGUUAAUUGAAAGUUUUACUUUCGUAAAUGAAGUACCGUUCCGCAGCAGGGUCAGUAGUGAAUCCUGACUGUAACUGAGCAUGGAUGUGCGCCUGCAUAGCGAAGAGUUGCAAGUGACUGCAGUAACUUUGAGCCAAGAGCUUACACUAAGCACUUGUUCAGGCAGUACCAAAAUCCUGGAUUUUCCUCUAGGAGCAUGGUCUUUCAAUUAAGUGUGACUUCUGAGGAUGCACUCAUGCAGGGAAAUCUCAGUGCCCUAGAACUGAUAAUCUUUUAUCUAAGUGUAGGUGGGACUGUAUCAUGAAGGACUCUUGCUUCUUGCCUGUCAAAGAUGACUACCAGAAGUAUAAGAAGUGUUACACCAUCAGGAAAAUAUUACUCUCUAUUGUCUAAGUUAAACUUUUUCUUUCCUUCUGUGAAUUACAGCUCAAGUUUCAUGGAAUCAGUCUUUCUUAACCAGGAUUCACUCUUCCAACAGUUAAAUGUGUUUCACAUACCUUUUAGCAUGGAGGCUUUUCCAUGAACGUGCAGAAAUUGGAACUUUUAAACUCACAACUUCACUUGUCCAAGCACAGAUACCUCCCAAAGAUGCACAUAGAGUGAAUCAAAUUGCACAUACUGAUUUGAACUCAUUCCUGAAUACUUUUACAGAUGGAACAUUCAGAAGGAACAGUAAUGCAAAUAGGGGCUCUUUCUCAAGGCAUAAGCCAUCUUACGACGAUGUUAAGCCAAGAUGAAAUGCUGAAUGACAGCAGAUUUUUAACACCUACCUUUGAAGACUGGAGAUGAUGUUUCAGCGUGACCAAGAACACCACCAAUACCUCAUGCCUGUCCAGAGGGGUGGGCCAGGAGAAGCUUGAUGCUGUCCGCAGAAAAGCUUUAUGCCUUUUCUGCCAAUUAGGCUUACCACAGAGCAUUUAAUGCUGUCAAUGUAGCAAUGCAAUACAGGUAACUCUCCUCCACACUCUCCUCCACAUGAUUUUCUUUAUUGCGUAAUGUGAAAUAGGUGUUGAGAGAGAAUACUCACAGCAGACUCUGGAAAGCUGAGGCUGGCACCACCCUUCUAUUCAGUCGUCUUUUACAUGGUAUGUUUACAUACUGUAUAUGAAAGAUAUUUUGUCAUUUUUUAUUUUUAUAAUCACUUGUAAUGCAGGAAUCAUUAAUACUCCGUUGUACCAGGUGGACUAAUCAGAGCUACCUAGACAUUCAGAUGGAUGCUGGUGAGUACUGGCUCACCAACUACUGCUGCAGUCCUGCCAGAGACUGUUUCCCAUAAAAGGAUUUUAAUCUCUCACCCCUUUCAUCAGCACAUGUCCUGCCCUCUUUUUAUCUAAGUAAGUAAGUGCAGUGUAGAAAAGGAGGAAUAGAACAUAAUGGUAUCCAUCAAGGCCUUGCUUUUAUCAGGAUGAUGACAAGAUGACAUGUUCACAAAUCUUGACCUAACUGAAAAAGAUGCUGAACAACUCCAGCAGGAAAUGUAACUUUGAGGCUGCGAAACUGACGCACUCAAAAGCUGGUGCUUCAUUUGACAUGAUGGUUUUUUAAUAGUGCGAUCUUUACAUGUGCACUGAGAUGGUCACUAUCAAGGAGAAAUCACAGCAUCUAAUUAAUGUGAAACAUAACUUUAAGAAAGGUGUUUAGGGUGAGUGCAACAGAAUAUCCAGCAUGAUCCAUGGCCUGGUUUUACAUGACAGGUCUUUAACCAGAACUACCGAAUGGGCUCUGUCUGUACAUUGAUGUUUUGUCCACAAUGGCUAGUAUCGACACACGUGUGCAAGCAUCAGGAUGCUCAUAAGCCUUCUGAACAGCCAAAAUGGUUCAGACCAAGUUUUCUGAGCCCUAACACAGAACUGGCUCUCAGGAAGACAGGAAUGGUAAUAAACCUAUUUCUUAAUUAAAUGUAUGGCUGCAAACAGUCCUGAGGACUGGAGAUGACAGUAGAAACACUUUUGUAAUGUUUGCAUGACAACUGGAGAUGUUGUAAAUGGUAGAACUGAAAGUGAACAGCACUCUUUUCAUUCCAGCUAUGUCUAGAUUUUCAUAGAAUACUCUGUUUAGCAAUAGGAGACAAACAUUAUUGCUUUGUAAAGUAUAAAAUGCCACUAAGGAGCAUCAGGCAAGCACAAUAAUAAAAUAAAUAGUUGUUUCUUUAAAACAGCUGACAAAAGAGAGCUGUUGCUAUUCUACUGAGCAUUGUGAAAGAGGAAAACACAGCCUCUCAUUACUUACUUGAGGGGCUGUUCACGGGUGAAGGUGUCUCCUUCACAGUAGCAGUUACUCGUGGCAUCAGUUGACAUGUGCCUUUCGUGUAUUAAUAAGGAAUUAACAAGUUAUCUUAGUUAACAGGGAAAUGCCAGAAAAGAAAUUGGCUCAAUUGUGAAGACUUAGCAAGUAUAUGGGUGGUUUGCAUUACUCUUUCUCCUGAAGGGUGUUGGUUUACAUAUUGAUAUAGCCCGAGGGUAGCCACAACACUCUCAGGUAAAGGCGAAAUAUCUGGUACUGUCCCAAGUAUGCAGCAAGGGCUCUUCCAGAGCUGUCAGUGGCACUUUUAAAAAGUGACCUAUUCUGCUCCUCACUCCCUGAGGCUCUCAUGAGAGACCCUGCACACUACAGUCAGAUUUUAGAAGCUAAACACGUGAUUUUAUUGUCCAAAAUGGUGAAACCACAGCAAAUUAUUUUUCAAUCAUUUGAACAAUGACAUGAUAAUGGAAAAUUCAAAGGAACGAGAAACCAGUCUACACAUCAGCCAACUAAAAAUGCUUAAUAAAAGGAAUUAAAUGUACCAGUCCAGUACAUCUCCCCUCUGGCAAUGCAAUCAACACUAGUGACCAUGUGCUACGGGCAUGUGAAAUACUUUGCUGGGUUAAUUAGCCAGCAGACUUAUUACAGCACUACAGAUAAACCAAGCUGCUCUAACAAAGGCAGCCCUAAUAUCACUGGGAUAUUCCAAGCAGAUUUUCUGUUUUCUUUUGAUGAUAUAUUUAUAACUGUGUGGUGUUGUGCUAACUUGGUUGUGAAUAGUCAAUCUACAAAGUUAUUGGUAUUCUUAAAAUAUGUAAGUAUUCUAGUAUUCUAGUAAGAAAUCCUAACUAGCAUAACACUGGCAUAAAUGCUUAUUUUUUUGGCUGUUAUGAAUAAAUGCUGAAUGUUCCUCCA
Strigops habroptila (Kakapo) is the source of this 7120-nucleotide RNA transcript. It is a transcript of the gene named PPFIA binding protein 2, with no coding region annotated. The transcript has 28 exons. The record is from RefSeq and is a predicted model, not a curated record. Lineage: Eukaryota; Metazoa; Chordata; Aves; Psittaciformes; Psittacidae.